AGGAUCCUAUUGAAGAUACCACAUUGCAUUUAAUCAUGACAUCUGCUUAGUCUCCUCUGGUAGAUGUCUAGUUUCUCAGCACCAUUUGUUGUACAUUCCCCACUGUGUAGUUUAGGACCCUCGACUAAGCUCAUCUGACGGUGUCUUGUCUUUGUCCUUACACUCAGAAUGGUAACCCCGUCUACCUCACUCUGAAGAUGUGAAGAUGAGAUCAGGCAAUGGACUUGGCACCAGCUCAGAAUACUGCUUUUGCCAGCACACCGUGAACAAAGCCAUCCCACUGGGACUGAUUCCCAGUCACUAAGCUCAUAAUCCCAUAUAAAAAUCAAAGUAAAGAGGUCAGCAUGAAUGGGCACUUGCCCAUGCAGACAGACAUAAGAACGGAAGCUAGAGUGAAACAGAAGUCUAUUUGAUUCUUGAACCUUCUGCCUAUGCUGUCACAGCUGGGAGCAGCAAGGAGUCUGAGAAAAUGGGUUUGAACAUCUCAUAGUUGGCUCAUUCUUUACUCUAGGUAGACCACAUCUGUGUUACCUGUAUGUCCUCGUGGAUAACUUUGGCAUAAAUGUGUCUUAGUCCAUUCAGGCCACUAUAACAGAAAGUAUCAAAAAGACUUGGUGGCUUAUAAAUAACAGAACUUUUUUCUCACAAAUCUGGAGGCUAGAAAGUCCAACAGGAAGUCACUGGCAGAUUCAGUGUCUAGUGCUGGCAUAUUUCCUGACUCAUAAAUGACUAUUUUCAUGGUAUUCUAUGGCAGAAGGGAGGAGGGGUCUCUUGGAAAAGGGUAUAAUCCCAUUCAUGAGUGCUUCACUCUUAUGACUUAAUCACCGCAAAGGUCCCACCUCCUAAUGCCAACAGAAGGUUGGUUAUUGGGGUUAUUUUUCAACACAUGAAUUUUGAAAAGACAUAAACAUUCAGUUUAUAGCAUGUGGAAAACACAGUUCUCCACCCAAGAGCAUAAUGGAAGACAGUAACUAUGACGGUGGAGUAGAAAGACCCUGAGCUCACCUCCUCUCAUGAGCACAUAAAAAUCACAGCUCUCUGCAAAGCAGCCAUUGAUAAAAAAACAAAACAAAACUGGAACUACCAGAAAAGAUUUUCUACAACUAAAGACAUAAACAAGGAACCACAAUGAGACAAGUAGGAAAGGCAGAACUGUGAUAGAAUCAAAUCCCAUAUGCCCCAGAUGGGUAACCCACAAACUGGAGAACAGUAAUAUUGCAGAGGUUCUCCCACCAGAGUGAGAGUUCUAAGCCCCACAUCAGGCUCUCAAGCCCCAGGGUCCAGCACCUGGAAGAUGAGCCCCC
Molecule: long non-coding RNA, 1304 nt
Organism: Cervus elaphus (red deer)
Lineage: Eukaryota; Metazoa; Chordata; Mammalia; Artiodactyla; Cervidae
Exons: 5
Source: RefSeq, a predicted model, not a curated record